CCCGCGAGAGAGCUGCACCAGCGCCGCCAGCACGACGAACACGAGACAAAGGCGAGAGAAUGGAGACAUCUUUCUCGUCUUCCUGAAAUUUGAGGCGGAAUUAAUACGAAAGAGAAAUACAGCAUUGUUCUCGCGGUGCUUUUGUUUGCAACGCAGCUGGAAGCGUUCAGCUCGGUCGGAUCGUUAUUACGUUUAAUUGGACGUGAAUUGGCAUGACCGUGGAAAGAGCACGAGAGGGAGGGAGAGAGAGAGAGAGAAAGAGAAAGAGAGGAGGGAAGAAAAAAAGAAAAGAGAAGGCUCGGCGUGCUUUCACACGGUUCUCCUUUUCGCCAAGUUUACCGGGGCCGCUCUUUAAAUAUGUGCGGCCGACUUAAACACGCCACCCGUAAAGGCCUGGCACGCCUCGAGAGUUCGCUCAAGUACUACUUUUCUUCUUCUAAUCUGCAGGUAAGAUACUGUUAAACGAACUCCAUACAAAAUGGCUACAACUCAAGAGAAGGCACAGCGUGUAUCAUGGUUUGUUGAAACCAAAUCGGAUCUCUGCAGACUCGGCGAAACUUGAGAACUAGGUAUGGAAGAGAUCCACCGUCACGUCCAUCAAUUCUCGUGCAUGGCGCAAGAAAUUUAUGGAGACAUGGAUAGUGUUUCGACAAAGGGAGAAUUGGACGACCAAGAACAUUCGAGGAAAACAUUGAUCGUGUAGAAAUCGAGCACCGUCUUGAUGUGCUUCGUGCAACCAAUGGUGCUCAUAUCAGAGGUAGUAUUA
Frieseomelitta varia is the source of this 766-nucleotide long non-coding RNA. RefSeq lists it as uncharacterized. The transcript has 3 exons. Lineage: Eukaryota; Metazoa; Arthropoda; Insecta; Hymenoptera; Apidae. The record is from RefSeq and is a predicted model, not a curated record.